ACGGAAGGCAGCAGUGGGGAGUAUUGGGCAAUGGGCGAAAGCCUGACCCAGCGACGCCGCGUGAGGGAAGAAGGUCUUCGGAUUGUAAACCUUAGUCAACAGGGAAGAAGCAAGUGACGGUACCUGUGGAGGAAGCCACGGCUAACUACGUGCCAGCAGCCGCGGUAAUACGUAGGUGGCGAGCGUUAUCCGGAUUUACUGGGUGUAAAGGGUGUGUAGGCGGGACUGCAAGUCAGAUGUGAAAAUUAUGGGCUUAACUCAUAACCUGCAUUUGAAACUGUGAUUCUUGAGGGUCGGAGAGGUAACUGGAAUUCCUGGUGUAGCGGUGAAAUGCGUAGAUAUCAGGAGGAACACCGGUGGCGAAGGCGGGUUACUGGACGAUUACUGACGCUGAGACACGAAAGCGUGGGGAGCAAACAGGAUUAGAUACCCUGGUA
This 437-nucleotide ribosomal RNA is filed under the name uncultured Pseudoflavonifractor sp. RNAcentral's name for it is "partial 16S ribosomal RNA". It matches the Rfam family "Bacterial small subunit ribosomal RNA", at positions 341 to 792 of the family's 1533-position model. The record is from RNAcentral. Lineage: Bacteria; Bacillati; Bacillota; Clostridia; Eubacteriales; Oscillospiraceae.